RNAcentral lists this ribosomal RNA (465 nucleotides) under uncultured bacterium. Its description in RNAcentral is "partial 16S ribosomal RNA". It matches the Rfam family "Bacterial small subunit ribosomal RNA", at positions 338 to 795 of the family's 1533-position model. The record is from RNAcentral.
CCUACGGGUGGCAGCAGUAGGGAAUCUUCCACAAUGGGCGAAAGCCUGAUGGAGCAACGCCGCGUGGGUGAAGAAGGUCUUCGGAUCGUAAAACCCUGUUGUUAGAGAAGAAAGUGCGUGAGAGUAACUGUUCACGUUUCGACGGUAUCUAACCAGAAAGCCACGGCUAACUACGUGCCAGCAGCCGCGGUAAUACGUAGGUGGCAAGCGUUAUCCGGAUUGAUUGGGCGUAAAGGGAACGCAGGCGGUCUUUUAAGUCUGAUGUGAAAGCCGUCGGCUUAACCGGAGUAGUGCAUUGGAAACUGGGAGACUGGAGUGCAGAAGAGGAGAAGGGAACUCCAUGUGUAGCGGUGAAAUGCGUAGAUAUAUGGAAGAACACCAGUGGCGAAAGCGGCUCUCUGGUCUGUAACUGACGCUGAGGUUCGAAAGCGUGGGUAGCAAACAGGAUUAGAUACCCCUGUAGUC